UCCCUUGUGGCCUAGUGGUUAAGGAUCCAGCACUGUUACUGCUGUGACUCAGGUUCAGUUCCUGGCCUGGGAG
This 73-nucleotide transfer RNA is filed under the name Sus scrofa (pig). It matches the Rfam family "tRNA". From Rfam's summary of the family: Transfer RNA (tRNA) molecules are approximately 80 nucleotides in length. Their secondary structure includes four short double-helical elements and three loops (D, anti-codon, and T loops). Further hydrogen bonds mediate the characteristic L-shaped molecular structure. tRNAs have two regions of fundamental functional importance: the anti-codon, which is responsible for specific mRNA codon recognition, and the 3' end, to which the tRNAs corresponding amino acid is attached (by aminoacyl-tRNA synthetases). tRNAs cope with the degeneracy of the genetic code in two manners: having more than one tRNA (with a specific anti-codon) for a particular amino acid; and 'wobble' base-pairing, i.e. permitting non-standard base-pairing at the 3rd anti-codon position. The record is from Rfam by way of RNAcentral. Lineage: Eukaryota; Metazoa; Chordata; Mammalia; Artiodactyla; Suidae.